CUUGGUGUGACUGUUGUGGAGAUUUUAUAUGGGGCCUAUACAACUCAACAGAUUGUCUUAGAUGCCUUAAUUGUCGUUAUACCUGUCACCAGAGGUGCCAACAUCUUGUGACGCUUGACUGUAAAGGAUCAUCUGGUGAUACACAAACAACCAAUUUCAGUGAAAUAAUUGACAACACUUUAAAAAGUGAUGUUAGAGAGAGGGACAGGUUGUCACCUUUAUUUUUUGAACAUCUUGAUGGGGAAGAGUUACGUCAUAGAAUUGAGCGCUAUAAUGCAUUGCACCAUAGUUCUGAAAUGGUUUUGGUAAGAA
Non-coding RNA from Parasteatoda tepidariorum (common house spider), 312 nucleotides. Lineage: Eukaryota; Metazoa; Arthropoda; Arachnida; Araneae; Theridiidae. The record is from RefSeq and is a predicted model, not a curated record.